CUGCGGGUGAGCCCCUGCAGUGCAGUUUCGAAGCGCUGGCACCACGUUUACUUCCAAUAGCAAAAAUUUCAGGUUUCGGAAGACUAAUCAUAAGAGUAGUCCAAGAGGAUGUGGCCACCACUGAGUGCUUUGCCUGCCAGGGACAGCAGGGCGACAUACAGCAGUGGGAGGAUGCGUCUCCAGAGUGAUCCUGCUCGAGGGGCUUUGGCGGCGCUCUGGCAAGGUUGACUCCCACUGCCAUCCCAGAGGGUGCUGCGGAGCUGCCUUUGCUGGCAGCGCUAUCAUCCUUCCAGCGAUUAGCGGGUGCCGCCUGCGACACAGCAUCACUCUGGAGGAGAAAUUCAACUUGCUGUAAUAAAAGUUUUGUGAAAUUCA
Molecule: long non-coding RNA, 375 nt
Filed under: Struthio camelus australis
Lineage: Eukaryota; Metazoa; Chordata; Aves; Struthioniformes; Struthionidae
Description: lncRNA (ENSSCUG00000004273.1)
Source: RNAcentral